GUGCGUUUGUAACCGGUCUACAGUCUAAAAACCAGCAAAGUUACCAGCUCAAGUUAUUCGUUUCUUUUGAAUCGCGAGAGUGGAUGUACCGCUCGAACUGUUCUAUCUGCCUUAAAGGAACAAAGCCGAGUUGGAGAGCACGCUGGCUUUGCUUUCCAAGGAACAAUUUGCGUUAGACCCUACAUGUACGCGCUUCAAUAUAGUAUCUUAUUCAGCAUUUUUAAAAGUCGAGACUGCAACCAACGUUUUCAAACCAAGACUUCGUGUUAUACGUAAAAAGGAAAAUUGGAAGAGGGAAUGUAAAGCGGAUUGAAUUCAGUCUCAAAGUCUUUGUCUAGGUAGUUCCGGGUGUUUCCCCUCAGCUGACUAUAAAACACGCUAUAGGUCUAGUCAACUUUCGGCUAAGCAAGUUACUAAACAACUCCAAAUGCAAAAAGAUAUUACACGGUCCACUGAUGGUCCAACCUCUGACUAGGUUACAUUACUUUUAUUUGGAUCCAACAGAUUCAACUGACAGAUUAUGCAGUAGACACUGCUAUACUCUGGAAUUCACACUGGACACAAGAUAGCCACAAUCUGAUACACAAUACAUGUAUGCAAUUACUGACCUGUUAACUGUGCACAGAUCUAAAUAAGUAUUGGUAUUCAUUAAUUAUGAAAGAAUUUUAAAAAAUGGUAUCAAGUAUCGCGGUUUAAUGAAUAAAAAACGUGUAUUUUCAGAAAAUUCGUUUUAUUUAGAUCAAAGGACGGCAAUUUCCAGACUGGAAAUUCUUCUUUUAUCGACUGGUUAAUUCAAUUGAAGUGGACGGAUUGCAGAUCUUGGGACGUUAUUGAAGCUUUUUUCUAACUGCCUGGAAUAUAAAGAAAGGCCAAUAUUUUUCUGAGCAUGAAAUUGUUAAGAAAUAUUUCGAACAGCAACGGUUACGAAAGUGCCGCAAAUCAAAAUAUGCCAUGGUAACAAAAUUAUGCUACUGCCAUUGUUAAACUAACCUUUUUUAACGACCGUAGCCUUUUCCAGCAGCGUGACUUCCAUAACCUCCACUCAUCAGUGCAGAAUGACCUCCAUAUACCCCGCUCAUUUGUGAUCCAUGGCCACCGUAACCUUUGGCUGCCGAUGCUGCAUGACCUCCAUAUCCUCCGCUGGUUGGCAAAGCAUGGCCACCGUAUCCUCCGUUCAUUGACGCAACAUGACCACCAUAUCCUCCGCUCACAGGUGACGCGUGAUUGUUGCUGUAGCCUCCACUCUUAGGCCGACGGACCGCUUGCCUACUGCCGUACCCUCCGCUCGCAGGAGAAGGAUGCCCUCCGUAUCCUCCACCAACUGGUGCACCAUGUCCAUCAUACGCACCACUAACGGGGGCAGCAUGACUACUGAAAUGCCCUCCACCCACGGGUGAUGUGUGACCACCGUAUCCUCCGCUGAUUGGCGCAAUUUGACCUCCGUACCCCCCGCUCACGGGUGCUGCGGGACUGCUGUGAUGUCCCCCUAUCAUUGGAGAGAUGUGGCCACCGUAUCCUCCAUGCGACGAAUGGCCAGCGUGUCCCGAACUCAUCGGUAAUGUAUGACCACCGCCAUGUCCUAGACUUUGUUGGCCACCUGAUAAUUAUACAAAUUCAUUACUUGAUUUUUAAAACUCUGUAGCUGUCAAUAUCUAUUUUCCUUGUCCUGGUUGGUCUCGGACGUGCAAGGAGCAACACUUACCAUAGCUACCGUAACCACCUCCACUCCCGCCGCCUCCUCUUCCUAUACAUAAAAAUCAAUAAAUAGAUAUUGGAUCUAA
This 1781-nucleotide long non-coding RNA is filed under the name Daphnia magna. RNAcentral's name for it is "uncharacterized LOC116926180". Lineage: Eukaryota; Metazoa; Arthropoda; Branchiopoda; Diplostraca; Daphniidae. The record is from RNAcentral.